UCCUUAAUGGUCUAGUGGCUAGGAUCCCGGGCUUUCACUGCCAUGGCCCAGGUUAAACCCCUGGUUAAGGAA
RNAcentral lists this transfer RNA (72 nucleotides) under Bos taurus (domestic cattle). It matches the Rfam family "tRNA". From Rfam's summary of the family: Transfer RNA (tRNA) molecules are approximately 80 nucleotides in length. Their secondary structure includes four short double-helical elements and three loops (D, anti-codon, and T loops). RNAcentral also lists the same sequence under 2 other names. Lineage: Eukaryota; Metazoa; Chordata; Mammalia; Artiodactyla; Bovidae. The record is from Rfam by way of RNAcentral.